UACGGGGGGUGCGAGCGUUGUCCGGAAUCACUGGGCGUAAAGGGCGCGUAGGUGGCCUGAUAAGGGUGUGGUGAAAGUCCGGGGCUCAACCCCGGAUCUGCCGUGCCGACUGUUAGGCUAGAGUACUGUAGGGGCAGGCGGAAUUCCGGGUGUAGCGGUGGAAUGCGCAGAUAUCAGGAGGAACACCGGUGGCGAAGGCGGAUCUCUGGGCCUUACCUGACGCUGAGGCGCGAAAGCUAGGGGAGCAAACAGG
Molecule: ribosomal RNA, 253 nt
Filed under: uncultured bacterium
Lineage: Bacteria
Description: partial 16S ribosomal RNA
Rfam family: Bacterial small subunit ribosomal RNA
Source: RNAcentral